Molecule: ribosomal RNA, 467 nt
Filed under: uncultured bacterium
Lineage: Bacteria
Description: bacterial SSU rRNA
Rfam family: Bacterial small subunit ribosomal RNA
Source: RNAcentral
GUACGGGAGGCAGCAGUGAGGAAUUUUGCGCAAUGGGGGCAACCCUGACGCAGCAACGCCGCGUGGGUGAUGAAGGCCUUCGGGUCGUAAAGCCCUGUCGGGUGGGAAGAACCAUCCCUGUUUGAAUAGAGUGGGGAUAUGACGGUACCACCAAAGGAAGCACCGGCUAACUCCGUGCCAGCAGCCGCGGUAAUACGGAGGGUGCAAGCGUUAUUCGGAAUUACUGGGCGUAAAGCGCGUGCAGGCGGGUGAGCAAGUCUGAUGUGAAAGCCCGGGGCUUAACCCCGGAAGUGCAUUGGAAACUGCCCAUCUUGAGUUCCGGAGAGGAAGGGGGAAUUCCCGGUGUAGAGGUGAAAUUCGUAGAGAUCGGGAGGAAUACCAGUGGCGAAGGCGCCCUUCUGGACGGCAACUGACGCUGAGACGCGAAAGCGUGGGGAGCAAACAGGAUUAGAUACCCGCGUAGUCCG